CUUCCAUGUAAAUGAUUUUUUUCACUUAGUUAAUUUAUUUGCAAUCAGUUCAAUCCGAGGCUUCCGAAAAGUUAAAAGCUACUUUUAGACAAAAGUUUUCUAAGGUGAAGCUCUUUUGCUCCCGGCCAAACGGGCCCUUAGCCUUUAUUGAUGGUAUUAAAUUAGACACUCUUCAUAUAUUUGAGUUAUGAAGCCAAUUAAUCACCAAGGAGUUGGAAUUGAACUGUGCACCUUUCCUACUUCAUUUGUUCCUUUUUAUUGCCGGAAAAAGGCAUAUCAUCUCAGGCUAUCGGAUCAUAUUUUCUGACUUUUCUUUACCUCUUUUCCUGUUGUGAACUUCAUUCUAGCAACCUACUAUGUUUGAGAAUACUGAUUGCCUUAGUGCUCUUAAGAGUUAUCCUUCCUGUGAAGUCCACUGAUACUAUCAGACAUCUCAAAAGAAUCUUUGUUAGAGUUGAAGAGCCAGGGAGUCUUUUGUUUAGUUUUUAAUUAUGCUAGAAAAAUUUGAGCCAAAGAGUUAGUAAAAGGGAAAAAAAUCAGAUCUUUAUUAGAUUUUGAUUAAAGUUAUGGAAUGUGUGGUUGAAAAGUUGUGGGUCUUUUGAAAUUGUUGUUAAAAUGAUUGUUUUUGCGGAACCAAACUGGGGCUAAGUGUUGUUUUGGAAAACCACGAGUCAUUACUUUGUUUAAAAGAUUCUUUAUACCUUGGUGAAAAAGAAGAAAAAGUUAUCUUCAACACAUUAUCAGUUCUAUGAGAACAUUUGCUUCCAUUUUCAUCUUUCUAAAGAAAUAUGCACUCCAACAAUGUUGAGAAUUGAUAUCUUUCAUCAAAGUAGCAUGUUAGAUCCUUUCUCAUCGUAGUGUUGGGAUACAAAGGGAGAGCUACUCCAGAAAUGUCAAAUUUUAAUUUUACAUGGUAGCUAUGUGGUUUACUCCUGAACGUGAUCGAGAUCCACGUAUGAAAUUAAUAUGUCCAUAAAUUUACUGGAGAAGAAUAACUGAAAGAAGUAUUAGAUCGAUUGUAAAAUUGAAAGAGUAGUGUAAAAGAUAUAGUGAAGAAAGUGGAGUUUCGUUAUAUGGUAACUCCCAAGUAUCAAGGUUCCAUCUCUUUUUCAUAAGAUUUAAAUUGGUCGUUAGUUACAACAGAUUGCAAAAAUAAUUUCGUUAAUGGGACUCGAGGCAAUGGGUUUAGAUGAGAGUGCCUUGCACAUUCUCCCUGGCAGCUGAAGUAGCUUCAGAAGCUUUUGUAGACACUCGUGUCUCUUCUUAUGUCAUGUAAGCUGCUUUUCUGCUGAACAGCGUCUGAAUCAAUUAUUUGUAGAGCAUUAUCAAUAUGAAGUUUGUUUUAUUUCAGUGUUGAGGGGUGCAGAUAUAUCACAUGAGCAGAUUUUGAUAGCUUAAUAAAAACUGUUGCACAUUUAGAAAGAGAUCGAUAUGUUUGUCAUUGUAAUGGUUGCAAACUCGGAAAUAUUUUGUGAUCAAACUACUUCAGAGUAGGUGAAACAAUUUCAACCAAACGCACUUUUGAUGUCUAUAUCUAUUGAUUUCAUAUAUUGCCUGCAAAUAAUUAGUAACGUGCUUGUUUGCUUAUGCACAGGUGUGUGAGAGUCAUCCAAAUGCUGCAAUCUUGCUGCGAGCAAUGCGAAUAUAAGUCGACACAUUGUGCAUCAGUAUCUGGCCUUCUAAAGCAAAUAAACAAGUAAAUCUUUGGAACAUAUUGAAUUUUCAUAUCUCAAAUUUUUGGGAUAAAAAAUAAGUUGACCCUGAUGUGGUUUCAGCAAGUUACUGGGACUUGUAUGGUUUAACAUUGUCUGAAAGCAAUUUAAACUUGUUGACUCUCAAAAUGUAAUACCGUACUGUGUACUUGACAAAAUCACAGAGAAGAGGAUAGCAAUUUUUUGUUCUUUUUAUGUGUUAGGGUUCCUACUUUAGGUCGAUCAAAGUUUUGUAAUAAAUAAAUGUUUGUUUAUUAGUUUCAUUUGGAUGCAAAUGCUUCACUCUCAAAGUGUGGAACACAAGAUUGAUUAUUAUGCCUUCUCUGAGAUGUACCAAGGCGAAAGGAUGGUGCACAAUGACUUUUUUUUUCAUUUUUCCUGUAAGG
RNAcentral lists this long non-coding RNA (2098 nucleotides) under Olea europaea subsp. europaea. The record is from RNAcentral. Lineage: Eukaryota; Viridiplantae; Streptophyta; Magnoliopsida; Lamiales; Oleaceae.